GAUCCUACGGGGGGCAGCAGUGGGGAAUAUUGCACAAUGGGGGAAACCCUGAUGCAGCGACGCCGCGUGAGUGAAGAAGUAUUUCGGUAUGUAAAGCUCUAUCAGCAGGGAAGAUAAUGACGGUACCUGAGUAAGAAGCCCCGGCUAACUACGUGCCAGCAGCCGCGGUAAUACGUAGGGGGCAAGCGUUAUCCGGAUUUACUGGGCGUAAAGCGAGUGCAGGCGGUUCAAUAAGUCUUAU
This 241-nucleotide ribosomal RNA is filed under the name uncultured bacterium. RNAcentral's name for it is "partial 16S ribosomal RNA". It matches the Rfam family "Bacterial small subunit ribosomal RNA", at positions 335 to 593 of the family's 1533-position model. The record is from RNAcentral.